GACGAACGCUGGCGGCGUGCUUAACACAUGCAAGUCGAACGGAAAGGCCCUGCUUUUGUGGGGUGCUCGAGUGGCGAACGGGUGAGUAACACGUGAGUAACCUGCCCUUGACUUUGGGAUAACUUCAGGAAACUGGGGCUAAUACCGGCUAGGAGCUCCUUCUGCAUGGUGGGGGUUGGAAAGUUUCGGCGGUUGGGGAUGGACUCGCGGCUUAUCAGCUUGUUGGUGGGGUAGUGGCUUACCAAGGCUUUGACGGGUAGCCGGCCUGAGAGGGUGACCGGCGACAUUGGGACUGAGAUACGGACCAGACUCCUACGGGAGGCAGAAGUGGGGAAUAUUGCACAAUGGGCGGAAGCCUGAUGAGGCAACGCCGGGUGCGGGAUGAAGGCCUUCGGGUUGUAAACCGCUUUCGCCUGUGACGAAGCGGGAGUGACGGUAAUGGGUAAAGAAGCACCGGCUAACUACGUG
This 468-nucleotide ribosomal RNA is filed under the name uncultured bacterium. RNAcentral's name for it is "partial 16S ribosomal RNA". It matches the Rfam family "Bacterial small subunit ribosomal RNA", at positions 28 to 507 of the family's 1533-position model. The record is from RNAcentral.